GUCUGUACCAAGAUAACUGUCUUUAAAAGUUACUGGAUUUUCUACCAAAAAGAAAUAUUCUGUUGGUUUUUGACAAAGGUAAAGUUUAGACCUUGUCAUGCCAUCUAGACUUUUAUACUGUUAGAAACAGCCGUUCUAACAUUUCUGCAAGUUCUCCCAUGCAACUGAGGAUUAUUUUUUUUUUUUCAAUCAAAUAUAGGAAGGUCAUACAAAAGACCUGAGCUACGCAAAGAUACCUUCUUAUACUGACAGUAGCUAGAAUGGAGUGAAUGAAGCACCUGUGUCAAGUCCACCUGGUUCUCACAGCCUUUCCAGUUUAUUACAGCUGUAUGAACUCCUCAUAUUGACCGAGUAUGUACAAAUAUGCAUGUAGACAUAUAUUAUCCUUCAGCUGAUUCGAAUAACUUCGGCUCACGAAUAAGUAUCUCAGCAGCUCUCGUGUCUUAUCUAAAGGGAACCCUGACAGAAAACUGGAAUCUCAGCCACUGCGCACAAGAAAGUCGUUGAUGUGCUCAGACAAUGUACUUCAGGGAAACCCCAGGAUGACAUUCUUGGAGAGCCUGAUCACUGCAAUGAUCUCAGCAUGAAGGACGUUCUCGUAUAGAUCCUAUAGAUCCUCUUGGCCUCACCAUUCAGGAUGAGCAAAUGCAUCUUCUCUGCCCGGGAAAAGGAAGUAGAAAAAGAAGCAGUUAUGUGGGUAAGUGGAGUAUGUUGCGCUUAAGAACCUUGAAAUGUUACGGAGCCCUCGCUUAGCCUGUGGAGAUCUCAAAAUGGAAAAAUCCAAGG
Molecule: long non-coding RNA, 786 nt
Filed under: Calidris pugnax (ruff)
Lineage: Eukaryota; Metazoa; Chordata; Aves; Charadriiformes; Scolopacidae
Description: lncRNA (ENSCPUG00000004996.1)
Source: RNAcentral